GAAAAUGACGAAAGAGUUAAAGAAGAGAGAGAUACUUACAAUGCUGCUCUCAAAGCGGCUAAAACUGUUCUAGAGGGAGAAGUUGCUCGGACAGAUGUGGAAACAGAUUAUGACCAACCAAGAAAGAAAAAAAGAACAAAAAAUAUAUAUCCUCUUCAGAAGAUGAAGAAUUAGACAAUCCUGCAUUACAUAUCCCUCGUGGUACAAGCAGUGAAAGAGUACCUGCUCCAAAUUCUCUUCCAAAUAAAUUCAAAGAACUUAUUAAAAAUAAAUCAGUGAAAAUAUCUACUAAACAGUCAAUAGAAAAAGACACAUCUAUAGGAAAAUCAUUAUCUUGUAAUGAAUCAAGUGUUAAGUCAUCAGGCCAUUUAAAGUUAACUUACCAUAACAUUACAUUAGAGGAAAAUCCGAUAAAGCAGCAUUCUUUACUAAAUGAGAGUCCUGUCGACAAAACACGAGCCUAAUGAGGACACAGAUGGCUAUGGUUUUGAUAUGGAGAUCUGAUCGAAAUUGGCGUCAAUCUGCGCGCAUUCUGCUAGCAUUUUGCUUACUGGGUUGUAAUACAGAAGUAUCGGACAAAGUGAUCGUAGAACCACUGCAGUCAAACAAGACAAAACCUCUUAGAAAAUUGCAUAGCAUCUCUCAACAUUUAGAUAAAGAGAACUAUCUUAAUUUUCCUAAUACUUCUCCAAAGUACUUGUCUCCUCAAUUGAGUACAGAUGAUGAUGAACAACCUACUACAUCAAGAUCAAAUAGUUCUACAAUGUCCAUGAGCACACUGCCUGUACAUAUGGAGCAGAAUCUCUUUAGGAGGAAACUAAAUGCUUCCCCAAAUAACAAAGCAAAGUCAUCUCUCUUUGAUGAAUAUGAUAGGAACAAUGAACAUAAAAAAAAUUUAUCUGAUACAAUGAACUGCGAAACUCUACAAGAUGAAAAUGAAGAUGAUGUUUUACAAAAAAAAAAAAAAGACUUUAAUGUCAGUAGAUAAUGAGAAAAAUCAAGCAUCUCCAAAUUCACCACAUCCCAAGGUUUAUCAAAUACAGAAUGCGAUUUACUGACAACAACAUUAAACCAUUUUAAGAAGCUUCAUGGACCGGUCGUAUCUAAUCUUGAUAGAGAUUUGCUUCGAGAUAUAUCAAGUAAACUGGAUAUAUUGCUGAUGAUCGAACGUUGCAUCUUAAAUGAAAUAUUUCCUGGUGAAGCUAUUGUAGAAGAACCCGAAAAUUGUCCUCCUCUUCCACUACGAGAUGAGAAGUCAUUUGAAGAAUUUCAGAGUUCAACGAACUUUUGAAGAAUAAAAUUGCGUACUCUCAGUUUGUCAGCUAUCUACAUGCACAUAUUGUUGAUGGUCCUGAUGAAUGGAGUGCUGCUACUUCUCUUAUGUCCAUCAUAUUGCACAAUGAUCUUGCAAGACUAAUUAGCUGGAAAGGAACUGGAGGAGUGAAAAUCUCUUUCUAUG
This 1459-nucleotide unclassified non-coding RNA is filed under the name Harpegnathos saltator (Jerdon's jumping ant). Its description in RNAcentral is "uncharacterized LOC112588663, transcript variant X2". Lineage: Eukaryota; Metazoa; Arthropoda; Insecta; Hymenoptera; Formicidae. The record is from RNAcentral.